This 73-nucleotide transfer RNA is filed under the name Rhipicephalus sanguineus (brown dog tick). RNAcentral describes it as "transfer RNA lysine (anticodon UUU)". It matches the Rfam family "tRNA". From Rfam's summary of the family: Transfer RNA (tRNA) molecules are approximately 80 nucleotides in length. Their secondary structure includes four short double-helical elements and three loops (D, anti-codon, and T loops). Lineage: Eukaryota; Metazoa; Arthropoda; Arachnida; Ixodida; Ixodidae. The record is from Rfam by way of RNAcentral.
GGCCGGGUAGCUCAGUCGGUAGAGCGUUGGGCUUUUGACCUAACGGUCCAGGGUUCGAGCGCCUGCUUGGGCG